AUGGGGCCUCUCGGCGACUCGUACGCGCUGCGCUGUGUCUCCGACCUGCCCCCGCCGUUCCGCCCCGUGUUUGGGUUCAGGUACUUCAACUCCUUGCAGAGCGAGUGCUUCCCUGUGUGCUUCCUCUCGGAUGUAAACAUGGUUGUCUCUGCGCCUACUGGGAGUGGUAAGACCGUACUGUUUGAGCUUUGCAUUCUGAGGCUCCUCUCGAGGUUCCUCACAACGGACUGGAGGUUCAAUUUGCUAAAAGGAACCCAGAAAACAAUCUAUAUCGCUCCCAUGAAGGCGUUGGUGCAGGAGAAGAUGCGCGACUGGAAAGUGAAGCUGGGCUCGUUGGGGAUAAAUUGCUUGGAGAUGACUGGUGAUAGUGAAUUCUUUAACAAGAAGGCCAUACAUGAUUCCGAUUUGAUCCUCACCACUCCUGAGAAGUUCGAUUCUAUGAGCCGUCAUGGAGUAAGGGAUGGAGGAUUGGGUUUCUUCAGUGAUAUUGCUCUGGUCCUUAUUGAUGAAGUUCAUCUUCUCAAUGAUCCACGUGGAGCUGCGCUGGAAGCAGUGGUCAGUAGAAUAAAAAUGCUUUCUCGACUUGGCAACAUGAAAUCUGCUCCAUUGGCAAAUGUUCGAUUCAUAGCAGUUUCUGCAACUAUCUCUAAUGCUGAGGAUAUAGCUGAAUGGCUCCUAGCACCUCCUGAAGGAAUCAAAAGAUUUGGAGAAGAGAUGCGGCCAGUGAAGUUGACAACCAAAGUUCUUGGUUAUGCUCCAGCGAAAAAUGACUUCCUGUUCGAGAGGAGGCUACAAAGUUUCAUAUUUGAUAUACUGAUGCAACACUCAAGAGGGAAGUCUGCACUUGUUUUCUGUUCUACAAGAAAAGGUGCACAAGAAGCAGCACAGUGCCUCUCACAAACUGCGGGUUCUCUUGGCUAUUCAAAUCCAUUCAUGAAAUCUAUGCAGCAGUAUGAACAUCUACGAGAGGCUUCCUUAACCUGUAGUGACAAGCAGCUGCAGUCUUGUAUCGUACAUGGAGUUGGUUUUCAUAAUGGUGGUCUUUGCUUAAAGGAUAGGAGUCUUGUUGAGGGUCUUUUCCUGAAGGGUGAUCUUCAAAUUCUAUGCACGACAAAUACUUUGGCACAUGGCAUCAACUUACCUGCACAUACAGUAGUGAUAAAAUCGACACAAUUUUUCAACAAAGAGAAGGGCUCAUAUGUAGAAUAUGAGAGAUCCAUGGUGCUUCAGAUGUGUGGGAGGGCUGGCCGUCCACCAUUUGAUGAUACUGGAACAGUUGUAAUUAUGACAAGAAGAGAGACAGUCCAUCUAUAUGAGAACCUUCUCAGUGGAUGUGAAAUGGUGGAGUCUCAGUUGCUGCCAUGCGCAGUGGAGCAUUUAAAUGCAGAGAUUGUUCAGCUGACAGUGUCUGACAUAACUUUGGCAAUUGAAUGGCUCAAGUGCUCAUAUUUGUACAUCAGGAUAAAAAAGAACCCUGAGCACUACGGAAUUAAGAGAGGGAUUCCUCGUGAUCUCCUUGAGAAACAAAUGAGAGAUAUAUGUGUUGAGAAGAUCCACGAGUUGGGUGAGUAUGGGCUAAUUUGGACAGAUGGAGAUGGUUUCAGUCUAAAACCAUUAGAACCUGGGAGGCUGAUGACAAAAUUCUAUUUAAAGUUUGACACGAUGAAGCUUAUUGUCAAAGCUUCUGCAUGUUGCAGUUUGGAAGAUUUAUUGCAUAUCAUCUGCCGCUCUGCAGAGAUUUCUUGGAUCCAACUACGUCGAAAUGAGAAGAAAACUCUAAAUGACAUAAACUCAGAUAAAGAGGGGAGGCUUCGAUUCCAUGUUGUCAGUGAGAAUGGAAAAAAGAAGAAGCGUAUCCAGACAAGAGAAGAUAAAAUAUUUGUAUUAGUGAAUGACUGUUUAACUGGGGACCCCCUAAUGCAUGAUUUAUCCCUCAACCAGGAAACAAAUUCAAUAUGCUCAAAUGGAUGUAGGAUUGCCAAAUGCAUGAAAGAAUAUUUUAUAUACAAAAGGAGUUACAGAUCUGCCAUAAAUUCUAUGCUCCUUGCAAAAUGCCUAGACCAAAAACUUUGGGAAAGCAGUGUAUUUUUACUCAAACAACUUCCUGGAAUUGGAAUUGUUACAGCAAAGGCACUGAAGACUGCUGGAGUUGAUUCCUUCGAGAGCCUGGCAACUGCUGAUGCUAGAAAGCUGGAAAGUGCGACGGGACGAAAUUAUCCAUUUGGAAAUCAGAUAAAGGAGUCCUUGUCGUCAUUACCGCCAAAAAUUGACAUACAAAUUGAGGAUGCUGGAAACAAACAGGGGAAAUCAACCAUUACUGUAACACUAAGCCGGCAAUCACAGGCAGUUCGAUCCAAGGCUCGAGAGUUUUCCAGCCCAUAUUCUGUAAAACUUUUGGUGCCAUGCCCCCAGAGUGCCAGGGUGACUCUGAAGGUAGAUCUGAUUUUUGAAGAACACGUUGGUAUUGAUAUCCACAAGAAGCAUGUGGUCAGCAGGGAGGAUGAUUUUCAUGUGACAAAAGCAUAUGGGACAGAAAAGCAAAAGCCCUUGAUCAGUCUUCCUGCUGAUAUUUGUUUGGUUAGCUCCAGGACAGCUGAAACAAGUUCAGCUCAACCUCAUAUUGGACGGAGCCCACUAUCAAAAGAGGUUUGCGUUAUAGAAGACGAUGAUGAUGCCAACGUUCCAGACAAAGUUGACAAUAUGCCAGGAACGAGAACAUUUAACAACUUGGCUUCACUAGAGGUCCCCAGCUUUGACCUAAUGCUUGAAGAAGAUAAUGGAGAUAUGCAAGAUGUGUUGUUUCCUGAACCAACAAAAGCAGAAUGCAGAAGUGCCACCAGCAACACAAUUUUUGAUCACAUACGCAAGAAAUCCAGAGAUUUUCCAACACUGAUGUUAUCAAAGUCGAUGGAUAGCUCUUAUGAACCUUUGAUACUGAAGAAGAUGAAGACAUCGAGGGGCCAGUUUAACUUGGAUCAGGGAAUCCUGCAUGCGAAUGAGGUCACACCAAUGGAUUCUGAACAUUCCGAGCUUAGAGUCUCUCCGACCAAUACAGCCGAGAAGUGUCGGAGGAUCCUGAGCAGAACUUCAGAGAAGAGCCGCUCUCUGUUUGCAGAGAAAGUUUACAGCCCAUUUGAGAAGAGCAAGAGCCUGAGUAGAAUUCCAGAUGAAAACUCUGUUCAAUUUGCUGUCAGAACUGACAGCCUAUCGGAGAAGACCAAGAUCUUGUGGACAGCAGCUGAUGAGAACUCUCAACAAUUUGGAGGCAAAAGGGACAGCCCAUCUGAGAAGAGCAAGAUCCUGAUGAGACCUCCAGAUGACGGCACUCUUCAAUUUGCAGGCAGAAGGGGCAGCCCAUCCGAAAAGAGCAAUGUCUUGAGCAGAACUCCUGAUGAGAACAGUCUCCAGUUUGCAGCUAAAAGGGACAGCUCAUCCGCGAAGAGCAAUGUCUUGAGCAAAACUCCUGACAUGGACUCUGCUCAGUUUGCCGGUAGAAGGGGCAACCCGUCGGAGAAGAACAAACUCUGUUCCAGCAGCCCCUUCCCAGAUUUCCAGGCUAUGAGGCAAGCUCCAGCUGCAGUUCAGCCUCUCAGGAUUCAAGACUACUGCAAGGAUAUAUUGGCGAGCUCAAAGGGCAGUGGAACUGGCGAACCUUUCCUUGGUUUCAAGAGUGUCUUUUCCUUCCUCUGA
RNAcentral lists this ribosomal RNA (3690 nucleotides) under Triticum aestivum (bread wheat). RNAcentral's name for it is "partial small subunit ribosomal RNA". The record is from RNAcentral. Lineage: Eukaryota; Viridiplantae; Streptophyta; Magnoliopsida; Poales; Poaceae.